CCUACGGUGUGCAGCAGUGAGGAAUAUUGGUCAAUGGACGCAAGUCUGAACCAGCCAUGCCGCGUGCAGGAAGACGGCUCUAUGGGUUGUAAACUGCUUUUGUACGAGGGUAAACGCAGAUACGCGUAUCUGUCUGAAAGUAUCUUACGAAUAAGGAUCGGCUAACUCCGUGCCAGCAGCCGCGGUAAUACGGAGGAUUCAAGCGUUAUCCGGCUUUAUUGGGUUUAAAGGGUGCGUAGGCGGUCGGAUAAGUUUGAGGUGAAAUCCCGGGGCUUAACUCCGGAAUUGCCUUUGAUACUGUGCGGCUAGAGAGUAGGUGCGGUAGGUGGAAUGUAUGGUGUAGCGGUGAAAUGCUUAGAGAUCAUACAGAACACCGAUGGCGAAGGCAGCUUACCAAGCUACUUCUGACGUUGAGGCACGAAAGCGUGGGGAGCAAACAGGAUUAGAUACCCGAGUAGUC
This 460-nucleotide ribosomal RNA is filed under the name uncultured bacterium. RNAcentral's name for it is "partial 16S ribosomal RNA". It matches the Rfam family "Bacterial small subunit ribosomal RNA", at positions 338 to 795 of the family's 1533-position model. The record is from RNAcentral.